RNAcentral lists this long non-coding RNA (253 nucleotides) under Brassica napus (rape). Its description in RNAcentral is "long non-coding RNA (BNAP_LNC006235)". Lineage: Eukaryota; Viridiplantae; Streptophyta; Magnoliopsida; Brassicales; Brassicaceae. The record is from RNAcentral.
UGUGGGUUUAACAAGUGUUAUAUCUCAGAUGGAGAACUGUAGAUUCACUUAUUAUUGUGAUUAUAAUAAUGAGAAUUGAGAAUAUAAAGGAAGGAGGCCGAAUCUGGAUUUUGUUUUAAAACUGAAAAGAAGUGUAGUGAAGAAAUGGAAGUAGUAGAAGGAAGCAGAGAGAGUGGAUGGGUUUGGAUUCUGAUGUUGAAGACGCGGUUUUGUUGCAUUAGCUCUGUUCUUUUACAAGACGCUGCGUCAGCGG